CCUCAAUUUUCUUCAUUCUCCUCCUCUCCUCUCCUCUCCUCUUCCGCUGCCAGAUCCCUUUUGCCCUCCUCUCCAAAUUCGCCGCCCAGAUCCCUUUUGCCCUCCUCUCCGAAUCCGCCUCCGGAUCCUUUUUGCCCUUCUCUCCAUCCUUCUUUCCGAUCAGUGCAACCCUAAAAAUGAGCAACAAACAAUUUCGUCCAGCAGCAGCCGCAAAACCAGCAGCUGGAAAGAAAUGGCGAGCUCGAACAGGCGCGUGAAGACCAUCAGUGAACCUCCAUCGAUGGCAGCAACCCCAAUUCGCGAGCAACCAAGCGACUAUACGGUCUCCGUCCGCAACAUUUUCAGUCUUCUAAGAGUUUCCUAUUUUAUACAAAAGAUCCCUAACCCUCAAUUUUCUUCAUUCUCUUCUCCUCUCCUCUCAAAAUCCGUCGCCUAGAUCUCUUUUGCCCUCCUCUCUGUUUUUCUUUAAAGACAGUACAGCCCGUAGAACAAACAACAAACAACGUCGUCCAGCAGCAGCCGCAGAACCAGCAGCUGGAUAAAAAUGAUGAGCUUCAACAAGCGCGCUAAGACCACCAACUUCAAUCGGCGAGCAACCAAGCGACCAGGCGAUUUUUGUCCGCAACAUUUUGCAGUCUACUGAGAGUUCAGCAACUACAGCAUUGAUGCAGAAACUAUGUGGGAGCUUAAAACUUUGUCAUAAAUUACAACAAGAGCAAGAGUAAAGCCACAUUGAGUUUCUUUCAGCUUUUCUAGUUAUUUUGUGUGGAUUGGAGAUGAGCGUUUCUUUAUUUUCACACUUCAUUUUGUAGAGUUCGGGUUCAAAGAUUGUUGAUGCAUUAAAAGAAUUCGAUCGUCUUUAUUGUUUAUACAUAAUGUAAUAUAUAUUCUCUUGUGUCUCUUUGCUUUAUGAAUAUGUAAAUGCAUACAAGUACUCAUGUUUAAGGUGGGGGAGAGGCGCAUAAUGCAAGCAUGAUCAUCCUCUAGUGGUAAUAAAUUACAAUGAUUCAUUCAAUUAGGGUUCAUUCAUCAUUUUGUUGCUAAUACUCUUCGUCCACGAAUGAAUUAUUUGAUUAUUUAUGUUUAUAGAUUCUGAUAGCGACAGUUCCUCUUGAUGUGAGGAAAUUUUAUGUAAGUGGAUGAGCAUUAGCUAAUAUUACUUUUUUAAAAAAUAUAUAAUUAGUUGUGAAUAUAACGAUAUGAUAACUUGUUUAUUUUUGUGAAUAUUUGUUAAUUAUAGUGAACUCGAUCUAUUAUUUCCAAUUUUAACAAAUAUGAAAAACCAAGGGCUUGAUCAGGCCAUUUCCAGAAAUAUUUUAAUAAUACGAGUGGCUAUCUUUAACAUUCAAUUCAUUCAUCAGUCUCUAAAGUAUUCUUUACUUGCUUAAUUUGUAGGAUAUACAUUUCAGAACUGAUGUUUUGACUCCUGUCAUCUAAGUAACACAUUUCAUGACAUCUGAAAUGUAAUUUCUACAAAUAAAGCAAGUAAAGAACACUUGAGAGACUGGUGGAAGAACUAAAUGUUAAAGAUAGUCACUCGUAUAACAAAAAUAUUUCUGGAAAUGGUCUAAUCAAGUCCUUGUUCAUAUAUGUUAAAAUUGGAAGUAACAGAUUGAGUUCACUAUAAGUAACAAAUAUUUACUAAAAUAAACAAGUUGUCAGAUAUAUAUACAACUAAUUAUAUAUAAAGAAAGUAAUAUUAGUUAAUGAGCAUCUACUUGCGUCAAAUAUUCUCACGUCAAGAGGAAUUGUCGCUAUCAGAAUCCGCAAACACAAAUAAUCAAAUAAUUUAUUUGCCGACCGAGAGUAUUAGCAACAGAAUGAUUAAUGAACCCUAAUUGAAUGAAUCGUUAUAAUUUAUUACCUGUAGAGGAUGAUCCUGCUUACAUUAUGUUGCCUCUCUCCCACCUUAAACAUGACUACUUGUGUGCAUUUUACCUAUUCAAAAAGCAAAGUGAAGCACGAGAUAAUAUAUUACAUUAUGUAUAACUAAUUAAGACUAAAGACUUCUACUCAAUGCAGCAACAAUUUUGAAUCCAAACUCUACAAAAUGAAGUGUGAAAACUCAUAACGCUUAUCUCCAAUCCACACUAGAUAACUAAAAAAGCUGAAAGAAGCUCAAUAUAUCUCCAUGCUAAUCUUUAGCGACCGAUUAAAUAUUCCGUUGCAAAUCGAUUGCUAUAUUAUAAAUCAAAAAAUCAUUUGUUCAUUUUGCAACAAAAUGGUUAUUCCGUCGCAAAUUCAUCGUCAUAUAGUGACGGAAUAUUGUUCGUCGUCAAUAUCUGUCGCUAAACGCUAUUUCUUUUAGUAGUGACUAAGGCAUUCAUGUACCUACUCUUUGCAUAUUCCAAUUAUAUAAACCAGAUUUUUCGCAUAGUUUCCUCCAUCGAAGCCACUUGUAUUGAAAUGUGUUAAAUAUGUUGUGAUUAUCAUGUUGAUGUAUA
Molecule: long non-coding RNA, 2444 nt
Organism: Solanum pennellii
Lineage: Eukaryota; Viridiplantae; Streptophyta; Magnoliopsida; Solanales; Solanaceae
Exons: 2
Source: RefSeq, a predicted model, not a curated record